Molecule: ribosomal RNA, 1278 nt
Filed under: Triticum aestivum (bread wheat)
Lineage: Eukaryota; Viridiplantae; Streptophyta; Magnoliopsida; Poales; Poaceae
Description: partial small subunit ribosomal RNA
Source: RNAcentral
AUGACAGAGGCAGCAACAUUUCAGAUGCCUUCUGCUCUUAGACGGUUGUUUGCAACUAUUCUGGUAUUCUGUGAGGCAAAAGAAAUUCGUCAGUUGUGGGACAAACACCUAGCAUCGAUGUCUGAAGAUUACCACCGUACUCAAUCGAAUGAGGCAGCACUUGAGCAGAUGGUCCUUAGGGAUAUCAGGGAUCUGAUGCAGUCCAUGGGAAAUGAUAUUAAAAUGUAUGGGCUUCCGGAUCUGGUUGGCAGAGACGGUUCUUCUGAUGCCGAGUAUAGGGAGGUAACAGAGGAGAGGCAAGUCAAAGCAGAUCAAGAACAUCUAGAUCUAUUCAACUGCCUGAACAAUGAGCAACUGGCUGGUUUCAAUGACAUAAUAGAUCAUGUGGCGAACCAAAAAAGCCAGAUAUUCUUUGUUGAUGGUCCUGGAGGCACUGGGAAGACGUACUUGUACAAGGCAUUACUUGCGAGGGUCCGUUCGAUGGGCCUAAUAGCGACCGCAACUGCUACAUCAGGUAUUGCAGCGUCGAUAAUGCCUGGAGGCCGAACUGCACACUCCAGGUUCAAAAUUCCAAUCAAGCUCACUGACAAAAGCAUGUGUAGUUUCACAAAGCAGAGUGGUACGGCAAAGUUGCUUAAACAGGCAGUUGAGACGCUUGACAAAUCGCUACAGGAUAUAAUGGAAUGUCCUCUACCGUUUGGUGGAAAGGUUGUCGUCUUUGGUGGGGAUUUCAGGCAGGUCCUCCUCGUUGUGACCCGAGGGACAAGAGCACAGAUCACGGAUGCUACACUUUUGAGAUCCUAUUUGUGGGAGAAGAUCCGCAAGAUAUGCCUCACGCGUAAUAUGCGAGCACAAGCAGACCCUUGGUUCUCCGAAUACCUCCUUAGGAUAGGCGAUGGAAUGGAAGAAACAAUUGGCGACGACUAUGAGCGUCUCCCUGAAGACAUUGUGAUUGCUUAUACCGAGGAUGAAGAACCUAUUAACAAGCUCAUCGAAGAUGUCUUCCCAUCCCUGCACACCAAUGCUAUGUCGAGAGAGUAUAUGAGCACACGUGCAAUCCUCUCGACCAAAAACGAGCAUGUGGAUGACCUGAAUGAGAAGAUGAUCUCCAGGUUUCCGGUCAAAGAAAAGGUGUACCAUAGCUUUGACUCUAUCGAGGAUGACUUCCAGAAUAAUUACACGAUUGAUUUGCUGAACUCGCUCACACCAAGCGGGUUGCCCCCCGCAUGUGUUGAGAGUAAAAAUGAACUGCCCGGUCAUUUUGCUACGGAACCUUGA